UACGAAGGGAGCUAGCGUUGUUCGGAAUCACUGGGCGUAAAGCGCACGUAGGCGGAUGUGUCAGUCAGGGGUGAAAUCCCGGAGCUCAACUUCGGAACUGCCUCUGAUACAGCACGUCUUGAGUCCGAUAGAGGUGGGUGGAAUUCCUAGUGUAGAGGUGAAAUUCGUAGAUAUUAGGAAGAACACCGGUGGCGAAGGCGGCCCACUGGAUCGGUACUGACGCUGAGGUGCGAAAGCGUGGGUAGCAAACAGG
Molecule: ribosomal RNA, 253 nt
Filed under: uncultured bacterium
Lineage: Bacteria
Description: partial 16S ribosomal RNA
Rfam family: Bacterial small subunit ribosomal RNA
Source: RNAcentral